This 120-nucleotide ribosomal RNA is filed under the name uncultured bacterium. Its description in RNAcentral is "partial 16S ribosomal RNA". It matches the Rfam family "Bacterial small subunit ribosomal RNA", at positions 29 to 149 of the family's 1533-position model. The record is from RNAcentral.
AACGAACGUUAGCGGCGCGCUUAAUACAUGCAAGUCGAGCGAGAAAGGACUUCGGUCCCAGUAAAGCGGCGCACGGGUGAGUAACACGUAGGUCAUCUACCCUCGGGUGGUGGAUAACAC